CCUACGGGGGGCAGCAGUGAGGAAUAUUGGUCAAUGGACGAGAGUCUGAACCAGCCAAGUAGCGUGAAGGAUGACUGCCCUAUGGGUUGUAAACUUCUUUUAUAUGGGAAUAAAAUGUUCCACGUGUGGGAUUUUGUAUGUACCAUAUGAAUAAGGAUCGGCUAACUCCGUGCCAGCAGCCGCGGUAAUACGGAGGAUCCGAGCGUUAUCCGGAUUUAUUGGGUUUAAAGGGAGCGUAGGUGGAUUGUUAAGUCAGUUGUGAAAGUUUGCGGCUCAACCGUAAAAUUGCAGUUGAAACUGACAGUCUUGAGUACAGUAGAGGUGGGCGGAAUUCGUGGUGUAGCGGUGAAAUGCUUAGAUAUCACGAAGAACUCCGAUUGCGAAGGCAGUUCACUGGACUGCAACUGACACUGAGGCUCGAAAGUGUGGGUAUCAAACAGGAUUAGAUACCCUAGUAGUC
This 460-nucleotide ribosomal RNA is filed under the name uncultured bacterium. Its description in RNAcentral is "partial 16S ribosomal RNA". It matches the Rfam family "Bacterial small subunit ribosomal RNA", at positions 338 to 795 of the family's 1533-position model. The record is from RNAcentral.